GGGCCGUUAGCUCAGCUGGUAGAGCAUCGGACUUUUAAUCCGCUGGUCCUAGGUUCGAAUCCUAGACGGCCCA
Molecule: transfer RNA, 73 nt
Filed under: Nitrococcus mobilis Nb-231
Lineage: Bacteria; Pseudomonadati; Pseudomonadota; Gammaproteobacteria; Chromatiales; Ectothiorhodospiraceae
Rfam family: tRNA
About the family: Transfer RNA (tRNA) molecules are approximately 80 nucleotides in length. Their secondary structure includes four short double-helical elements and three loops (D, anti-codon, and T loops).
Source: Rfam by way of RNAcentral